CCAUUCGAAUUUCAAAGGCAGCUAGAUAGUGGAUCUACAGCCAAAAUAGAUCCACUAAGGGACUGUUUGAUUGUGUAUAGUUGUAAUUGAAUUACGGUUGUAACUAUAUCCAAAUUCAAAUUAGCCGCUUGAAAUUAAAUUCAAUUAUUGCAAACAGAACUACUCGAGAAGACUCUUAUGCAGUAGUUGAAACUACGUCCAAUUGGCCGCAGUUUUAACAUUAAACAAAAUAAAGCUUACCUGGCUUUUAAUCUUCCAAACAAAAAAUUAUAUUUUUUUCUAUAUAGAGGGUAAUCUCAUUAUCUGAUAUAUGAAAUGAUAAAAUUUUAUAAAUGCACUUAUCAAUAGCACAUAACUAAACAUAUAUUAUAAUCAUUGUAUUUUCUACUAUAUCAAACCAAAUAAGAUUUAUGUAAUUAUAAUUAUUGCAUUAACUAUAUAUAUUUUGAACUACACAAUAGGCAUGUUUGGUUCAUCCAUUUUUCACCCCGGAAUCAAAAUCGGAAUGCAAGAUUGUAUUUCUGGUAUUGGAAAGUACCAUUCCAGUUUUGAUUUCUGGGUGAAACGGGAAUUGCCCAAUCACCUCUUUUUUCUUUCUGACCAAAGAGGCCAGUUUUAAAGUUGAAUCCGGACAGAAUGGAUAUUUGUUCAGAUUAAAUUUAAUUUUUUUAACCUUAGUUUUUAGUUAAAAUUUAAGUUUAAAUUUAGAAAUUAAAUUUAUAAUUUUAAUUUUAAUUUGAACUUGAAUUAAAAAUUAAAGUUCAAUCAAACAUUUCGAAUCUAAUUUAUGAAUUUGAAUUCAAAUUAAAAUUUAAUUUAAAAUUUAAAAUUUAAAAUUUUAUUUAAAAUUAAAAUUAAAUUUUAUGGAUUCAAACUGAAAUUUAAAUUGUACUUUUAAGUUUGAAUUUGAAUAAAUCAAAUUUUAGUUUUAUAUUUUGAAUUAUCCACUCAAUUUCAACUUUUAUUUUUUAAAAAAAAUUAUUUAAAAUUUUAACAUCAUUUCAAAAUUUUGAUGUAAAUUUUUAAUAUUUAAUUUUCAGUUUGAAUUUUAAUUAUAAAAUUUUAUGUUUUGAGUUGUGAACUCAGUUUUAAAUUAUUAUGUCAAUCCAAAUUCCAAUGGAUCUAGCAGAAAUGUUGAAAUUUUUUUUUUUAUUUAUAGUAUCAUAGUUUUGAGUAAUUUUAUUUAAAAUUUUAAUAAUAAAUUUUUUCAGAUUGUUUGGAAUAAUGAUAUAUUAUUUUGGAUAUUAUUACGAGUAAUUUUAGUUUGCUAUAAUGUUAGUCUUGAAAAUAUAAUUUCUCUUUCACUUUAGAAAAUGAUUAUGUUUUGUUAACUAUUUAAUUUAUUAGAAUCAUAUAAAAUUUUGUAAUUUAUAUGUUACCAUAUAAAUAUUAUAAUAAAAAAUAAUAAAAAAUAAUUUAUUUUUAUAUUAAAUAAUAUAAAAUAUAAAAGUGUCUUACUUUUUAUUAAUUAUUUUAUAAGUUGUUUAUUUAUAUUUUAAAUAGAGUAUUCAAAAUGGUUAAAAGUUAUUAAAAUGUAUGCAUAGAACGACUAUCCUAGUGAAAGCAUAGAGGACUUGGUACUUCUGACUUUUUAACUCUUGGAUCAAGUAUUGUACGGCUGGGAUAAUUGCAGUCCUCUCAGGAUUGAGUAGUCUACAUAAGGUAAUAAUAUUAAUCCAAAAAUUACAAGUGAUCAAAGGAGUUGAUCUAAGGGCCAAAAAGUCGAAAACACUAGGUUCUCUAUACUUCCGAUAGCAUAGUAGCUCAACUCAAAAUGUAAUAUAGGGAUAAAAUUUGUAUAUUAAUUUGAUUCUGUUUAUGAUAUUUACCUGAACUAAAUGCCGAUAAUCGAAAUGAUUCAUUCUAAUUCUGAUUCAGAUGACGAAUCAAACAGAAUGAAGUAACGAGUCAUUCCAAUUUCGAUUUCAACUUAUUCUCAUUCUCAUUUCGAUUUCGAUUCUAACUUCAAACCAAACGCACCAGUAUUUAUAAUUAUAUCUAACAAAAGUACUCCUUAAAUCCAGCCAACUUGUUAGGACUUUUCUCUUAUUAGUUUUUAUUUUUCC
RNAcentral lists this long non-coding RNA (2066 nucleotides) under Ananas comosus (pineapple). RNAcentral describes it as "long non-coding RNA (ACOM_LNC025641)". The record is from RNAcentral. Lineage: Eukaryota; Viridiplantae; Streptophyta; Magnoliopsida; Poales; Bromeliaceae.